This is a long non-coding RNA of Dromaius novaehollandiae (emu), 1607 nucleotides long. The record is from Ensembl. NCBI's taxonomy places the organism in Eukaryota, Metazoa, Chordata, Aves, Casuariiformes, Dromaiidae.
AAAGGAGUGGGCUGAAACGGUGGGAGAGGAUGAGAAGGGAAGAGGGCARGAAAAAUAUGCGAGUGUGAGAGGUUCAAAGACAUUCCUCUGCUUCUUCGGCCUCCUGUGCCUGCGCUGGCUCAGCCAGUGCUGAGGCCGUGAAGACCYCUCGUAAUCUGCAUUUCCUUUUCCUCUUUCACUGGGAAUGGAAGAGUCGUGUGCGCUGACCUCAGAGGCAUUGCUGGAGGCGGAAAGGGAAGAUGCAGACGAUUCCAGAGGAAGUUCAGCCUUGAAGUUCAGCGCUGGGAUAAUGAGCAAGACUCCUUAGCCCCGCUCCCUUUGCGCUACGAGGAAAAGGCACACUACAGCCUGCUUAACUCUUUCACUUCCAGGAGCGAGUGAGGACUCUGGUAAUAGGGAAACGAAAGGAGCAUUCUCCAUGAAAAGCCCAUCUGUUCUGUAUUUAUGAGGGGGCAUGAGGUACCAAGGAUACAGCAGUAAAAUGGAAAUCUGUCCUGGGUACAUUCGUACACCUUUCCUCUUCCAGGAUAUGUCAGAAGUUAAUGUUAACUGUACAACUGCUGCAAAUAGGUUUCUUGAUGGACUUCCCUGCAGAGAAUGAACUGAUGGUGUUGGAAUGAAAUCUGCGUUUGUGUCUGGUGGGGAGACGAACAGGGGAUAUUAUGGGGCUUUGUUCUAGGCUCUCUGAGUAAUUCAGACCUCUUCCUUUUUAUUUCAUUCUUGCUGUAACGGUGAAUUUCCCCUAGUCAUUUGCUUGAGCUGGACACAUCAGGGCAGGGCUCGAGGUAAAGCCGAUGCUUCAUGGACCCUCACAAGAGUUAUAUGUGACCAGUAGCAUGCAGGGAUGGUGUGCUGGGACCUGUGCCAAGGAGGUUGAAUGGCCACUGACAGCUUCACAGUGGCAAAGGAUAUAGACCCAGAAUAAUUAAGCAACUGUGUCUUGCUGCUGCUCAUGACAGCUUCCAGAUGCUGCUGUAAAUGAUUCCAGAUGUGUUCCGCCGAACUGCUGGCUGCUGUGAGCACCCAGGCAUUGGUGGGGUGAGGGCUACAUCCCGCUCCAGGGAUGCCUGUGACAAAACUGCCUUUCUCCCUCUGAUUUCCCAUGGACUUGGGUCGUGGGGAUCAUGCCGGCAUCGCUCAGAAGUGUACCCAAAUGGCAGAGCCUUUUACACGUCCCUCCGGUUUCCUUGGCUUGAGAUAACGCUCUUGACUCACGUUGCGGCAGUAAGAGGUUAUGCUCGCUUGCUGGCCCUGAGAUUCUGCUCUGAAGGAUUGCCAUCUGGUGGCCUUGUGCUGGAAAGCCACCGCUACAGCCAGGGAUGGAGUGGCACUUUGCACCGCUCGGUUUACCUGUGCACAUCGCCGCUCCACGUCCCCUCUGGGGCAGGCACUGGUGCUGAACCCUGGCAGGACAGAAGCGCCUCUGCCAGCGCCAGGCCAGCCAGACUGGGGAGCGAAGCUGGAUGUUUCAAAGUGGCUUUUCAGUAAUGAGCGUAYUUUUUAGAGCUGAUUCAUCCUUGCUCUGUGUGUGUGCACACGUAAGCAUUUGCAAAAUGGUAACUUGUUUUUUAAAACACUCUAAUAAACACACACAAAACUAAGUAUCA